UUUUACAAUGGAGAGUUUGAUCCUGGCUCAGGAUGAACGCUAGCUACAGGCUUAACACAUGCAAGUCGAGGGGAAACGACAUCGAAAGCUUGCUUUUGAUGGGCGUCGACCGGCGCACGGGUGAGUAACGCGUAUCCAACCUGCCCACCACUUGGGGAUAACCUUGCGAAAGUAAGACUAAUACCCAAUGAUAUCUCUAGAAGACAUCUGAAAGAGAUUAAAGAUUUAUCGGUGAUGGAUGGGGAUGCGUCUGAUUAGCUUGUUGGCGGGGUAACGGCCCACCAAGGCAACGAUCAGUAGGGGUUCUGAGAGGAAGGUCCCCCACAUUGGAACUGAGACACGGUCCAAACUCCUACGGGAGGCAGCAGUGAGGAAUAUUGGUCAAUGGACGAGAGUCUGAACCAGCCAAGUAGCGUGCAGGAAGACGGCCCUAUGGGUUGUAAACUGCUUUUAUAAGGGAAUAAAGUGAGAGUCGUGACUCUUUUUGCAUGUACCUUAUGAAUAAGGACCGGCUAAUUCCGUGCCAGCAGCCGCGGUAAUACGGAAGGUCCGGGCGUUAUCCGGAUUUAUUGGGUUUAAAGGGAGCGUAGGCCGGAGAUUAAGCGUGUUGUGAAAUGUAGG
RNAcentral lists this ribosomal RNA (621 nucleotides) under Segatella copri. Its description in RNAcentral is "bacterial SSU rRNA". It matches the Rfam family "Bacterial small subunit ribosomal RNA", at positions 1 to 605 of the family's 1533-position model. The record is from RNAcentral. Lineage: Bacteria; Pseudomonadati; Bacteroidota; Bacteroidia; Bacteroidales; Prevotellaceae.